GACGAACGCUGGCGGCGUGCCUAACACAUGCAAGUCGAACGGAGUAAAGACUUCGGUUUUUACUUAGUGGCGAACGGGUGAGUAACGCGUGAGAAACCUACCUUUCAGUGGGGGACAACAGUUGGAAACGACUGCUAAUACCGCAUAAGCGCACGGUUCCGCAUGGAACAGUGUGAAAAACUCCGGUGGUAUAAGAUGGAUUCGCGUCUGAUUAGAUAGUUGGUGAGGUAACGGCUCACCAAGUCGACGAUCAGUAGCCGGCCUGAGAGGGUGAACGGCCACAUUGGGACUGGGACACGGCCCAAACUCCUACGGGAGGCAGCAGUGGGGAAUAUUGCACAAUGGGGGAAACCCUGAUGCAGCGACGCCGCGUGAGUGAAGAAGUAUUUCGGUAUGUAAAGCUCUAUCAGCAGGGAAGAAAAUGACGGUACCUGACUAAGAAGCCCCGGCUAACUACGUGCCAGC
Molecule: ribosomal RNA, 465 nt
Filed under: uncultured bacterium
Lineage: Bacteria
Description: bacterial SSU rRNA
Rfam family: Bacterial small subunit ribosomal RNA
Source: RNAcentral